AGUGAACGCUGGCGGUGGGCUUAACACAUGCAAGUCGAACGGCAGCAUAGUAAUAGGGUGCUCUUACGGGUGGCGAGGGGCGGACGGGUUCGGCAUACUUCCCUAUCUACUUUUACGUGGGGAAUAACGUAGGGCAACUUACGCUAAUGCCGCAUACGCCCAACGGGUGGAUGCAGAGGGUAUUAUGGCCUUGCGCUGUGUCAUCGGCCUAUGUCCGAUUAGCUAGUUGGCUGGGUAAAUGACGACCAAGCCGAGAAUCCGUAGAUGGACUGAGAGGGUGAUCGGCCACACUGGAACUGAGACACGGUCCAGACUCCUACGGGAGGCAGCAGUGGGGAAUAUUGGACAAUGGGCGAAAGCCUGACGCAGCAAUACCGCGUGGGUGAAGAAGGCCUUCGGGUGGUAAAGCCCUUUUGUUGGGAAAGAAAAGCUGUAGGUGAAGACGCCGCGGUUCUGACGGUACCUAAAGAAGAAGCACCGGCUAACUACGUG
This 492-nucleotide ribosomal RNA is filed under the name uncultured bacterium. RNAcentral's name for it is "partial 16S ribosomal RNA". It matches the Rfam family "Bacterial small subunit ribosomal RNA", at positions 29 to 507 of the family's 1533-position model. The record is from RNAcentral.